CGUAGAGUUUGUAUCCUGGCGUCAGGAUGAACGCUAGCUACAGGCUUAACACAUGCAAGUACGAGGGGAAACGGAUGAGAGAGCUUGCUCUCUUAGGCGUCGACCGGCGCACGGGUGAGUAACGACGUAUCCAACCUGCCCAUUACAGGGGAAUAACCUUAGCGAAAGUAAGACUAAUGCCCCAUGGUAUUCUCAGCAGACAUCUAAUGAGGAUUAAAGAUUUAUCGGUAAUGGAUGGGGAUGCGUCUGAUUAGCUUGUUGGCGGGGUAACGGCCCACCAAGGCAACGAUCAGUAGGGGUUCUGAGAGGAAGGUCCCCCACAUUGGAACUGAGACACGGUCCAAACUCCUACGGGAGGCAGCAGUGAGGAAUAUUGGUCAAUGGGCGAGAGCCUGAACCAGCCAAGUAGCGUGCAGGAAGACGGCCCUAUGGGUUGUAAACUGCUUUUAUAGGGGAAUAAAGUGGACUACGUGUAGUUUAUUGUAUGUACCCUAUGAAUAAGGACCGGCUAAUUCCGUG
Molecule: ribosomal RNA, 519 nt
Filed under: uncultured Prevotella sp.
Lineage: Bacteria; Pseudomonadati; Bacteroidota; Bacteroidia; Bacteroidales; Prevotellaceae
Description: bacterial SSU rRNA
Rfam family: Bacterial small subunit ribosomal RNA
Source: RNAcentral